AAAACUUUCAACAACGGAUCUCUUGGUUCUGGCAUCGAUGAAGAACGCAGCGAAAUGCGAUAAGUAAUGUGAAUUGCAGAAUUCAGCGAAUCAUCGAAUCUUUGAACGCACAUUGCACCCCCUGGCACUCCGGGGGUAUGCCUGUCCGAGCGUCGUC
RNAcentral lists this ribosomal RNA (157 nucleotides) under Leotia atrovirens. RNAcentral's name for it is "5.8S ribosomal RNA". It matches the Rfam family "5.8S ribosomal RNA". From Rfam's summary of the family: 5.8S ribosomal RNA (5.8S rRNA) is a component of the large subunit of the eukaryotic ribosome. It is transcribed by RNA polymerase I as part of the 45S precursor that also contains 18S and 28S rRNA. Functionally, it is thought that 5.8S rRNA may be involved in ribosome translocation. The record is from RNAcentral. Lineage: Eukaryota; Fungi; Ascomycota; Leotiomycetes; Leotiales; Leotiaceae.